CUUGACAAUAUCUUUAAAUGUUACAAUAAAAAUGGCAUGCUUUAUAAAAAAAUUAAUUAUUUCUUGGGAAAUGUAGAAAUCAGUAGAAUAUAAAAUGAAAAAAAUAACUGACAGUGGUUAAACAGGAAAAUUCUAGAUAUUCAUCAAACAUUUACUCUUAGUUGGUUUAUUGUUUUAUCUAUAUAUGUAAGGAAUAUUUCCUUUUUUGCUUGAUUUUAUCUUGAUUAUUUUGGUUAAUACUUCAUGAAAACCAAAUUGCAGAUGUUUGAUAUUGUUUUAUUUCCAAACCAAUGAAAUUGUCGUGUCCAAUUUGCAUUUUGGGAUAAACUUAUCUAAUAUUUAGAUAAAGGUUUUAAAUUUUACUUUCUUUGGAAUCAAAACAAAUGCCGUGUUUCAAUUCAUUUUGAAAUAUGUUUAACAUUUGGAUGAAAAAAAAAUGUACAACUUCUGUAAAGAAAUAUAUGUAAUAAAUGAAAUUUACCUGAUAGAAACACAACAAAAAGUGAUUCAGUUCAGAGAAUUUUCUAAAAUUUCUAGUUUUGUUUCUAUACUAAACAAUGACUGAAUAUCACUUAUUUUUAUCAUAAAUGAUCACAUAUUCUGGGAGUAAAUUUAUUUUUACUUUAUUAUGGUAAUGCUAGAUACCCAAUGUAAAGACAUGUUGGGUUGCGCUAAGUUCUCAACUGAAACAAAAAUAGAGAUAUUAUGUGAGCUUUAGUACAGAAAGUUUUGUGAAGUUUUAGAAGAGGACUUAAAAAUGGUAUCACCAAUGCUUGAGUUUGUAUAAUGCUCAUAACACAGCAAAUAACAAGAACAAGAGUGCACACACUGAAAUGUCUUGCCUUCUUUACUAAUCAUUGCUAUUAUGUUGAUAAUUCUAAAUAUAAACUUCAUUACAACUGUCACAUAAACUUAACAUUAACCAAGAAAACUAAAAAUUGACCAAUGAACCAUGAAAAUGAGGUCAAGGUCAGAUGAACCAUGCCAUACAGACAAGAACAGCUAACAAUUCUUCCAUACAACAAAUAUAGUUGACCUAUUGCUGAUAGUUUAAGAAAAACAGAGCAAAACACAAAAACUUAACACUGAGCAAUGAACCAUGAAAAUGAGGUCAAGGUCGUAUAAAAACUGCGUAACUGACAUAUAGAUCAUAAAAUAUUUUCAUACACCAAAUAUAGUUGACCUAUUGCAUAUAGUAUUAGAUAAAAAAAGACAAACACUCCAAAACUAAACUUUGACCACUGAACCAUGAAAAUGAGGUCAAGGUCAAAUGACACCUGCCAGCUAGACAUGUACAUCUUACAACAGUAUUAGAAAAACAAACCAAAACACAAAAACAACUACAACCACUGAACCAUGAAAAUGAAGUCAAAACAGAUGACACCUGCCAGCUUGACAUGUAGUCCUUACAGUGCUUACAUACAUUGAAUAUACUAGACCUAUUGCUUAUAGUAACUGAGAUAUGGAAUUGACCACAAAAAAUUAGCCUUGUUCACUUAUUCAUGAAAUGAGGUCAAGGUCAAGUGAAAACUGUCUAAAGGGCAUGAGGACCUUGCAAGGUAUGCACAUACCAAAUAUAAUUAUCCUAUUACUUAUAAUAAGAGAGAGUUUAACAUCACAAAAAAUCUUAACUUUUUUUUCAAGUAGUCACUGAACCAUGAAAGUGAGGUCAAGGACAUUGGACAGGUGAUUGAUGGAAACUUCGUGACAUGAUGCAUCUAUAUACAAAGUAUGAAGCUUCCAGGUCUUUAACCUUCUUAAAUAUAAAGCUUUUAAGAAGUAAGCUAACGCUGCCGCCAGAUCACUAAUCCCUAUGUCAAGCUUUCUGCGUCAAAAGUCGCAGGCUCAACAAAAACCAUUAGUUCAAAUUCUAAACAAAUUCAUCGAUCUUAACCAACAUAUUUUUCAUCUUAAAUUAUCUAUAAUUACUGUAUUUUUUAAUACAUUUUUAGAGUUAGUUUUAAUUAUUAAAGACUGAAAAUCUCAAAAGAGAUUAUGGGAAAUAUAAAUAUUGAAGCAUCUAAUUUAUCAUCAAAACAAAAAACUAACUAGGUUUAUAUUAAAAAUAAGGUAAACAUUUAUGUCAAAUAGAUUUCACAUAAAAACAAUAAAAAUCAGGUUUAAAAAUAUUGCAAUAAGAUUUUUUUUAAAUAAAAAGAGGUAGUUCAAUAACAUGAUCAAAACCAAAAACAACAUCCUCUGUUUAGACAUGCAUCAUGUAUAUGACCUCAGAACACAAUUAUUCUUUACCUUGGCUACAAUAAAUUUUUUGGUUAAAGUCAAGUUGAAUUAAAAAGUUUGCAACGUUUCAAACAUGAAAUAAAUUUAACUGCUUAUAGACCAUUAUUAUUCUAAUCAUAUACUCUUGUCCCAGGACAAUACAUCAAUGCUUUUUCUUACGAAAACCUUAUUAGCAUGCCAAUGGUAGGAUUUGAAUCUUGAAUAAAUGAUGAAGGAUAAUUUCUACCCUACUUUCAUUUUGGCCAAAUCUCUACUUUCAAUUCAACAAUAUUUUUUCCCACAUGUUUUACUUAUUUCAAUAUAUAUGCAACUGGUAGGACCACUUAAAUAGUAAAUAUUUCAAAGAAAACAGUAGACAGAUUACUUGGAAAGAAUACCC
Molecule: long non-coding RNA, 2620 nt
Filed under: Mytilus galloprovincialis (Mediterranean mussel)
Lineage: Eukaryota; Metazoa; Mollusca; Bivalvia; Mytilida; Mytilidae
Source: RNAcentral